AAUAUUGGAUAAUUGGGGCAACCCUGAUCCAGCCAUGGCGCGUGUGUGAAGAAGGUCUUCGGAGUUUAUAGCACUCUAAGUUGGGGGGAUGGGGUUUAGGUUAAUACCCUGAAGUUUUGACGUUACCAACAGAGUAAGCGCCGACUAACUCUCUGCAACCAGCCUCGGUAAUACAGAGGGUGCAAGCGUUAAUCGGAAUUACUUGGCGUAAAGCGCGCGUAGGUGGUUCAGUAAGAUGGAUGUGAAAUACCCGGGCUUAACCUGGGAACUGCUUUCAUAACUGCUGAGCUAGAGUACGGUAGAGGGUAGUGGAAUUUCCUGUGUAGCGGUGAAAUGCGUAGAUAUAGGAAGGAACACCAGUGGCGAAGGCGACUACCUGGACUGAUACUGACACUGAGGUGCGAAAGCGUGGGGAGCAAAC
Molecule: ribosomal RNA, 421 nt
Filed under: uncultured bacterium
Lineage: Bacteria
Description: partial 16S ribosomal RNA
Rfam family: Bacterial small subunit ribosomal RNA
Source: RNAcentral